AUUCAGAUAGUUUAAUAAAAAUAUUGGUUUGUGAUACCAAAGUUAUAAAAUUUUAUUUUGGAUA
This 64-nucleotide transfer RNA is filed under the name Cobelura sp. KM-2017. RNAcentral's name for it is "tRNA-His". Lineage: Eukaryota; Metazoa; Arthropoda; Insecta; Coleoptera; Cerambycidae. The record is from RNAcentral.